This is a non-coding RNA of Schistosoma rodhaini, 45 nucleotides long. The record is from Rfam. NCBI's taxonomy places the organism in Eukaryota, Metazoa, Platyhelminthes, Trematoda, Strigeidida, Schistosomatidae.
AUCCAUCUGACGAGUCCCAAAUAGGAGGAAACGCGCGUUCUGGAU